UCUUUUCUGGAAAACUUUAUUAGCAACAGUGUUUACAGCAGUCAUGGAGACCAAGGUUAUCUUAGUAUCACUGUUAAAAUAAUCUUCCAGAAACUGAAAUCUUACAAAGCAAACUUAGGCUCUGCAAAUAACAAUGAUGAAUUUUAUGUAAAUUCAAUAAAAAUUCCUAAUCAAAAGACCUACAAUUCAAUGUUCUGUACAUACACACAUUUAGAAGAAAAAAAAAAAAAGGAAAAAAUAAAUACAUGCUUUCACAGGGUCUGCUGGAUCCACACAGAUCUUGGUCUUAUUCUUCAUUCAUCUACUUGUACCCAAAUCAAGAAUCUUGCAUGAAAACUUCUAGAUGAGAACAGAGCACACUCUGGAGCAAUCAAAAAAGGACCUUACAGCCCUUAAGCCAGACACACCUUCACAUUUCCAAAAAAGCAGCCGAAAUUGCCUAGUUAUGAACUACAGCUGUUCCACUGAUUAGCAUGAGCUCAGUAAUAAUUUUUGCAAAAUUUAAGGCAACUUAUAAAAACUUUUCUCUCCUUAGUGUGUAUUCUGAAGUACUGUACUCACAUUAUACAUUCUCUGCAUCUCCUCAAAUUAUCAGAAACAUUGACACUCACUGUUUUUAGACAGUGCAUACACAGAAAGACAACUCAGUUUUGACAUAGAAAAGGAAAUACGACUUUCUUUGCCUGAAGAAAUUUUGUUCUCCUUUUCUUGAGGGCAGAAAACAAAAUAAAAGGGAAUCUUCCUAGCCCAUGCUUAUACAGUGAAAAAAAAAAAAGGGAAAAUAGCCUACUCAUGAAAAAAUGGUUAUAAUCUACAUUUUAUUGAGAAAGACCUAAAAUUCAUUAACUGUAGUAGUGGAAUGCAGAAAUAAUUUUAAGUUUUUUCAUUUUCAAGCAAUUCCUGGGUCAAAGAAGAAAAGAGAACAGUUCUGGAUUCCUCCCCCCAAACAACAUAUCUGAUAAAUUCAAUCUAUUUUUAUGCAAAUGUUUAUGAAUAAGCUCACAGUUGUCUUAAGGCUGAAAAGUGAAAUGAUGUAUAGGAAGCAUUAAAGAAAUGUUAAACUGUGAGCUAACAACUCCACUGGAGUACUCCGGUGAUAUACGACAUGAUGAGAGAAAUUUGCACAGCAACCAUACACCUGAAAAUGGAGUCACUGCAAGUUCUACUUGUUAAACACACGAAUCUGCUCUCAGUUAAGAGGGAAAAGUAAAAUAAUGAUGUACACAUUUACCCUUAAUCCUCUGCCAAUGCACCAUUUCAACUUAUUGCUAGGAGCAGAUGGGCAAUUAUACAAAAAAAUUUGAAAUACAAAAGCCUUGAGGGCAGGGGAGUUGUUACUGGUUGCUUUUCAAGCCUGCUGCUGUUCAGAGGCAUUUCC
RNAcentral lists this long non-coding RNA (1378 nucleotides) under Strigops habroptila (Kakapo). Its description in RNAcentral is "lncRNA (ENSSHBG00005014881.1)". The record is from RNAcentral. Lineage: Eukaryota; Metazoa; Chordata; Aves; Psittaciformes; Psittacidae.